RNA transcript from Conger conger (European conger), 2046 nucleotides. It is a transcript of the gene named TXK tyrosine kinase, with no coding region annotated. The transcript is spliced from 14 exons. The record is from RefSeq and is a predicted model, not a curated record. NCBI's taxonomy places the organism in Eukaryota, Metazoa, Chordata, Actinopteri, Anguilliformes, Congridae.
UGUCAAAAGCAUCGUGAAAACUCUUGUCCACAAGUUAACUCGCAAUCAAGAAUGAGCCAAUUUAAAAACAGGGUCCCAGGCAAAAAUCUGGAACGGCACACAGAGGUUACGCUGUAGUGACCAUGAUUCUUUCAACUGGUGUGUGGUGAGUGCUCUGGUGCAAAAUGGCAGCUGUGCAUCACCCAGACCUCUCCCUCCAGUCCAUCUUCUGCUGCUGCUCGGCAAGAGGAAUGAACAGGGAGAGAGAGCAUCGGAGGGAUCAGGUCACAUCUUGUUGCCGCUCACAGAAAUACCCAGGCCAUGUCUGCAUGUCAGAGCAUUCUCGGAGGAAGCUGCCCUCUGCUCCUCCCGAGAAUGAUGGGGGAGCUAAAAUCAAGGUGGUUGCGAUGUAUGACUUCACGGCCACGGAGACAACAGACCUGAUGCUGAGGCGGGGGGAGGAGUACACCAUACUGCAUAAGCAGGACCAGCUGUGGUGGAGGGCGGAGGACAGGCACGGGAACAAAGGUUUUAUCCCCAGCAAUUAUGUCACAGAGAAGGAUAAAAUGGAGGCUCAUGAGUGGUACUGCAAGAACAUUACCAGGUCCAAGGCUGAGCAGCUACUGAGGCAGGAGGCGAAGGAAGGAGGAUUUAUUGUGAGAGACUCGAGCCAGCAAGGCUAUUACACGGUGUCGGUAUUCACAAAGGCUUUGAGCUCAGAAGAUGGCGACAUAAGGCAUUAUCAGAUCAAGCGCAGUGAAUCAGGGAUGUUCUAUCUGGCAGAGAAACAUGUGUUCAGCUCCAUACCUGACGUCAUCCAUUACCAUCAGCACAACGCAGCAGGUUUGGUGACACGGCUACGCUAUCCGGUUGGGCCAAUGGGAAAAUGCGUCCCAGCAACAGCAGGAUUCAGCUACGAAAAGUGGGAGAUAAACCCGUCAGAGCUGUCCAUCAUGAAGGAGCUGGGAAGCGGUCAGUUUGGAGUGGUGCGUCUGGGAAAGUGGAGAGCACUGUGCAAAGUGGCCAUUAAGAUCAUCAACCAGGGAUCCAUGUCAGAAGAGGACUUCAUCGAGGAGGCCAAGGUCAUGACGAGGUUGUGCCAUCCGAAGCUGGUGCAGCUGUACGGGGUGUGUAUGAUGCAGAGUCCCAUCUGCAUCGUGGUAGAAUUCAUGGAGAACGGCUCCCUGCUCAACUUCCUGCGCCAGCGCACCGGGACCCUGAGUCAGGAGUGGCUGCUGGCCAUGUGCCAGGACACCUGCGAGGGGAUGGAGUACCUGGAGCUCAACAGCUUCAUACACAGGGACCUGGUGUGUGUGUGUGUGUGUGUGUACCUGGAGCAAAGCAGCUUCAUACACAGGGACCUGGUGUGUGUGUGUGUGUGUACCUGGAGCAAAGCAGCUUCAUACACAGGGACCUGGUGUGUGUGUGUGUGUGUGUGUGUGUACCUGGAGCUCAACAGCUUCAUACACAGGGACCUGGUGUGUGUGUGUGUGUGUGUGUGUACCUGGAGCAAAGCAGCUUCAUACACAGGGACCUGGUGUGUGUGUGUGUGUGUGUGUACCUGGAGCAAAGCAGCUUCAUACACAGGGACCUGGUGUGUGUGUGUGUGUGUACCUGGAGCAAAGCAGCUUGCAAAAAAAUGGAUUCAAGCGUCAUAUUAAAUUAUACUCAUUUUCACUGUGACCUUUGCCCUUUAUCCUCCAUCAUAGGCUGCCAGGAAUUGCUUAGUCAGCGACAAGAAUGUGGUGAAAGUGUGUGACUUCGGAAUGACCAGGUUGUUACCGUUUUUUAAAUGGAAAUCCUGAGUAAUAAUAAGAAUCAUACUUCCCUGUUAAGUGUGUCACAGGUUUUACAGAUUGUCAACAAAUGUCAAAACCGACAAAAUAUGAUGACGUGAUCUCUUGGUUCAUGCUUCUAGGUAUGUGCUGGACAAUCAAUACACUAGCUCCACAGGAUCCAAGUUUCCGGUCAAAUGGUCUCCACCUGAGGUGCUGCACUUUAACAAAUAUAGCAAUAAAUCAGACGUGUGGUCAUUCGGCGUGCUGAUGUGGGAGGUCUUCACGGAGG